Molecule: small RNA, 127 nt
Filed under: Marmota monax (woodchuck)
Lineage: Eukaryota; Metazoa; Chordata; Mammalia; Rodentia; Sciuridae
Source: RNAcentral
GCUGGGUGUGGUGGUGCACGCCUGUCAUCCCAGCAGCCCAAGAGGCUGAGGCAGGAGGAUCACAAGUUCAAAGCCAGCCUCAGCAACUUAUCAAGGCGCUACACAACUCAGCGAGACCCUGUCUCAA